This 123-nucleotide non-coding RNA is filed under the name Lacrimispora saccharolytica. RNAcentral describes it as "Clostridium saccharolyticum THF-I sequence". It matches the Rfam family "THF (Tetrahydrofolate) riboswitch aptamer". From Rfam's summary of the family: THF riboswitch presents a pseudoknot that joins P1-P2 and the loop of P3 and two THF binding. Lineage: Bacteria; Bacillati; Bacillota; Clostridia; Lachnospirales; Lachnospiraceae. RNAcentral also lists the same sequence under 1 other name. The record is from RNAcentral.
GGCAAAGUAGGGCUAAGCGCGUCAAGUGCCAGAUGGACGGGAAGUUGCCGCUGGACGAAAAAUUCUGAUUAAAAAGAUACUUUUGAUCAUCAAUUUAUGAUGUUUAACCCGCAUUCCGUUGCC